RNAcentral lists this ribosomal RNA (254 nucleotides) under uncultured bacterium. Its description in RNAcentral is "partial 16S ribosomal RNA". It matches the Rfam family "Bacterial small subunit ribosomal RNA", at positions 524 to 776 of the family's 1533-position model. The record is from RNAcentral.
UACGUAGGGUGCGAGCGUUGUCCGGAAUUACUGGGCGUAAAGAGCUUGUAGGUGGUUUGUCGCGUUGUUCGUGAAAUCUCACGGCUUAACUGUGAGCGUGCGGGCGAUACGGGCAGACUAGAGUACUGCAGGGGAGACUGGAAUUCCUGGUGUAGCGGUGGAAUGCGCAGAUAUCAGGAGGAACACCGGUGGCGAAGGCGGGUCUCUGGGCAGUAACUGACGCUGGAGGAGCGAAAGCGUGGGGAGCGAACAGG